RNAcentral lists this ribosomal RNA (253 nucleotides) under uncultured bacterium. RNAcentral's name for it is "partial 16S ribosomal RNA". It matches the Rfam family "Bacterial small subunit ribosomal RNA", at positions 524 to 776 of the family's 1533-position model. The record is from RNAcentral.
UACGGAGGGUGCGAGCGUUGUCCGGAAUCACUGGGCGUAAAGGGCGCGUAGGCGGCGCGGGUAGUCAACGGUGAAAGCUUGGGGCUCAACCCCGAGUCGGCCGUCGAUACUCCCGUGCUUGAGCACUGUAGAGGCAGGUGGAAUUCCGGGUGUAGCGGUGGAAUGCGUAGAGAUCCGGAAGAACACCGGUGGCGAAGGCGGCCUGCUGGGCAGUAGCUGACGCUGAGGCGCGCCAGCGUGGGGAGCAAACAGG